UAAAAAGAAGCGAUUAUCGCAAUCAGUUUCGACCUGAUCUAAGGUGAAAACCCUUUUUUUAA
This 62-nucleotide transfer RNA is filed under the name Secretargas transgariepinus. RNAcentral describes it as "Argas transgariepinus tRNA-Arg". Lineage: Eukaryota; Metazoa; Arthropoda; Arachnida; Ixodida; Argasidae. The record is from RNAcentral.